RNAcentral lists this ribosomal RNA (1200 nucleotides) under Vibrio cholerae. RNAcentral's name for it is "partial 23S ribosomal RNA". It matches the Rfam family "Bacterial large subunit ribosomal RNA", at positions 1614 to 2797 of the family's 2925-position model. The record is from RNAcentral. Lineage: Bacteria; Pseudomonadati; Pseudomonadota; Gammaproteobacteria; Vibrionales; Vibrionaceae.
AAAGCCUCUAAGCUUCAGAUAGUCAGGAAUCGUACCCCAAACCGACACAGGUGGUCGGGUAGAGAAUACCAAGGCGCUUGAGAGAACUCGGGUGAAGGAACUAGGCAAAAUGGUACCGUAACUUCGGGAGAAGGUACGCUCUUGAUGGUGAAGUCCCUCGCGGAUGGAGCUGACGAGAGUCGCAGAUACCAGGUGGCUGCAACUGUUUAUUAAAAACACAGCACUGUGCAAAAUCGCAAGAUGACGUAUACGGUGUGACGCCUGCCCGGUGCCGGAAGGUUAAUUGAUGGGGUUAGCGCAAGCGAAGCUCUUGAUCGAAGCCCCGGUAAACGGCGGCCGUAACUAUAACGGUCCUAAGGUAGCGAAAUUCCUUGUCGGGUAAGUUCCGACCUGCACGAAUGGCGUAAUGAUGGCCACGCUGUCUCCACCCGAGACUCAGUGAAAUUGAAAUCGCUGUGAAGAUGCAGUGUACCCGCGGCUAGACGGAAAGACCCCGUGAACCUUUACUACAGCUUGGCACUGAACAUUGAACCUACAUGUGUAGGAUAGGUGGGAGGCUAUGAAGACGUGACGCCAGUUGCGUUGGAGCCGUCCUUGAAAUACCACCCUUGUAUGUUUGAUGUUCUAACUUAGACCCAUUAUCUGGGUUGAGGACAGUGCCUGGUGGGUAGUUUGACUGGGGCGGUCUCCUCCCAAAGAGUAACGGAGGAGCACGAAGGUGGGCUAAUCACGGUUGGACAUCGUGAGGUUAGUGCAAUGGCAUAAGCCCGCUUAACUGCGAGAAUGACGGUUCGAGCAGGUGCGAAAGCAGGUCAUAGUGAUCCGGUGGUUCUGUAUGGAAGGGCCAUCGCUCAACGGAUAAAAGGUACUCCGGGGAUAACAGGCUGAUACCGCCCAAGAGUUCAUAUCGACGGCGGUGUUUGGCACCUCGAUGUCGGCUCAUCACAUCCUGGGGCUGAAGUCGGUCCCAAGGGUAUGGCUGUUCGCCAUUUAAAGUGGUACGCGAGCUGGGUUUAGAACGUCGUGAGACAGUUCGGUCCCUAUCUGCCGUGGGCGUUGGAAGAUUGAAGGGGGCUGCUCCUAGUACGAGAGGACCGGAGUGGACGAACCUCUGGUGUUCGGGUUGUGUCGCCAGACGCAUUGCCCGGUAGCUAAGUUCGGAAUUGAUAAGCGCUGAAAGCAUCUAAGCGCGAAGCGAGC